CCUACGGGAGGCUGCAGUGAGGAAUAUUGGUCAAUGGACGCAAGUCUGAACCAGCCAUGCCGCGUGCAGGAAGACGGCUCUAUGAGUUGUAAACUGCUUUUGUACGAGGGUAAACGCAGAUACGCGUAUCUGUCUGAAAGUAUCGUACGAAUAAGGAUCGGCUAACUCCGUGCCAGCAGCCGCGGUAAUACGGAGGAUUCAAGCGUUCUCCGGAUUUAUGGGGUGUACAGGGUGCGUGGGCGGGGGGAUAAGUUAGAGGUGAAACGCGGGGGCGCAACCUGGGAAGUGCCGGGGAUAGUGGUCGGAUAGAGAGUAGGGGCGGUAGGGGGAAGGGAUGGGGUAGCGGUGAAAUGGUUAGAGAUCAUACAGAA
Molecule: ribosomal RNA, 371 nt
Filed under: uncultured bacterium
Lineage: Bacteria
Description: partial 16S ribosomal RNA
Rfam family: Bacterial small subunit ribosomal RNA
Source: RNAcentral